GAUUCCCACACCAGCUACACAGAUGGUCAGGCAGAGUGUCCCAGGAUCCGGAGAUGGUCAGCCCGGCAGGACCCGGGCCGCUCAGACCUUGUGGCUUUUUGCUGAGGCCGCAGAAUGAGGACAGCGGACGGAUGAGGACCUGGACUUUACCAGCGCACAGACAGAGCAAAAGGAGACAGGAGACUGACAGGACAGAAAAGAGCUUUUGCUUUUUCUACAUUUUGUUUUUGUUUUGUUUUUUCCUGAUAGUCCCACAAAGCUGAAGAUCUUGACCUGCAAGAGCGGACAACAACGUGACUCAGGCUGGGACCACUGAGCCUACCUAGGUCACAGGGAGGAAAAAAGGGACCGCAGAACAGCAGAGAUAGGACCUCCCAACCCUGCGCCAGCUGGCAGCUCCCUGCCAGAGAAGCAGAGACAUCCCUCCUUCCUCCCUUCCCCCAUAAGAGCCAAAGGCUCGAAGGCCGAACCUCCCGCCGCCGUCAGCCCACGGGGGCAGCUCUCAGAGAGCCAGGGAGGAGUUGUGAUGAGGGGAGAACCGGGAUCCAGGCCUUAGCCUGCCAGGGGCUCAGUCCGACCGUGGCUACCGCCUGCGGAAGAUACAGCGCCUGCAUAACACCGAGCCAGCAAUUCCAAUAUCAACAUCAAUAAAAAGAAUCGAAAACCUAGGAAGGAGUGGAGGAAAUUUAUUUGCAACGCGACCCAACUUUUCUAUGCGCCAUCUUUUCUGCCCUUGAGUUGGGACGGACUAAGGAGGCCUCAAGGUUUUGCUGAACUUCUCUUUGGAUUCAAAACCAUUCUUGCACUAGUGUCUGUUUGCUUUCUCCAGCUCUGCUCCAAAUCCCGGACCGGACGUCGGAAACCCGCGCCCGCCGCCGUCAGGAACGCUCACGGGCUCCCCGGAGUCUUACAGAAAGCCGGGAAGGAAGGUCCCGUUUCUUCUCUAAGGUCUGGGACUUGAGAGGUGAGAGGGCGGAGGAAAGGAUCUCCCCCCACCCCCAACCGGUAAGAAGGAGGAGGAGGAGGGAGGCUGAGGCGCGGACCCAGGCCCCGAGUGAUUAGUCACACAAUUUAAAGGCAAAGGAGGGAUUAAGCCCGGAGUCUAUUGUUCCAGUUGUUUAGGCACGUGUGACCUCUGAGUUCCCAAACAAAUCGUCUGGGGAAAUCCUUCCUGCGCCCUAAUCAGAUUGUCCAGGGACAGAGGGCCGGACGGCAGGCAGCUCGGGAUACCGAGAGCAGU
RNAcentral lists this long non-coding RNA (1240 nucleotides) under Homo sapiens (human). RNAcentral describes it as "HSALNT0307150". The record is from RNAcentral. Lineage: Eukaryota; Metazoa; Chordata; Mammalia; Primates; Hominidae.